UAUGUGAUCGUCUCUCGCAUAUCAAUAAGCGGAGGAAAAGAAACUAACAAGGAUUCCCCUAGUAACAGGCGAGUGAAGCGGGAAGAGCUCAAAUUUGAAAUCUUAAAGGUUUUCCCUUGACGAAUUGUAGUUUAAAGAAGUGUUUUCUGUUGAAGGUUUUGGUAAAAGUUCUUUGGAAUAGGACAUCAUAGAGGGUGAGAAUCCCGUAUUUGACCAUUUACUUUUCAGCUUUGUGAUACACUUUCAAAGAGUCGGAUUGUUUGGGAAUGCAGUCCAAAAUGGGUGGUAAAUUUCAUCUAAAGCUAAAUAUUGGCGAGAGACCGAUAGCGAACAAGUACCGUGAGGGAAAGAUGAAAAGAACUUUGAAAAGAGAGUUAAACAGUACGUGAAAUUGUCAAAAGGGAAGCGUUUGACACCAGUGUUGUUUUUCUGAAAAUCAAUUAAAGAACUGUUUAUGCUAAGCUGUUUAGACUUUAUCAGCUAAUCUGUUUAGUUUUGAGCUUUUCUUUAAUGCACUUUUCAGUUAACAAGUCAACAUCAAUUUCUUUUGCUGUAAAAAAGCUUGAGGAAGGUGGCUUGAGAUUCGUCUUAAGUGUUUAUAGCCUCUUGCCUAUGCAGUCGGAGAGAUUGAGGUCUGCAGCGUAGAUCCUUCGGGGCUAAAUGCAUUUGUGCUAAGUUAUAGCAUUUUAUAGACAACUUGUUGACUAUGAUUUGUCUUGUAGCUUACUCGCUUAUGUUAUUUUACCUACGCUUAGGAUGUUGAGUCAUCACACAUCUCU
Molecule: ribosomal RNA, 779 nt
Filed under: uncultured Neocallimastigales
Lineage: Eukaryota; Fungi; Neocallimastigomycota; Neocallimastigomycetes; Neocallimastigales
Description: partial large subunit ribosomal RNA
Rfam family: Eukaryotic large subunit ribosomal RNA
Source: RNAcentral